Molecule: non-coding RNA, 21 nt
Filed under: Caenorhabditis elegans
Lineage: Eukaryota; Metazoa; Nematoda; Chromadorea; Rhabditida; Rhabditidae
Source: RNAcentral
UAUGAUUGUCUUAAUUUAGCU